GUUUGGUUAAGUUAGAAAGGGCGCACGGUGGAUGCCUUGACACUAGGAGUCGAUGAAGGACGGGACUAACGCCGAUAUGCUUCGGGGAGCUGUAAGUAAGCUUUGAUCCGAAGAUUUCCGAAUGGGGAAACCCACCAUACGUAAUGGUAUGGUAUCCUUACCUGAAUACAUAGGGUAAGGAAGACAGACCCAGGGAACUGAAACAUCUAAGUACCUGGAGGAAGAGAAAGCAAAUGCGAUUUCCUGAGUAGCGGCGAGCGAAACGGAACAUAGCCCAAACCAAGAGGCUUGCCUCUUGGGGUUGUAGGACAUUCUAUACGGAGUUACAAAGGAACGAGGUAGACGAAGCGACCUGGAAAGGUCCGUCGUAGAGGGUAAUAACCCCGUAGUCGAAACUUCGUUCUCUCUUGAAUGUAUCCUGAGUACGGCGGAACACGUGAAAUUCCGUCGGAAUCUGGGAGGACCAUCUCCCAAGGCUAAAUACUCCCUAGUGAUCGAUAGUGAACCAGUACCGUGAGGGAAAGGUGAAAAGCACCCCGGAAGGGGAGUGAAAGAGAUCCUGAAACCGUGUGCCUACAAAUAGUCAGAGCCCGUUAACGGGUGAUGGCGUGCCUUUUGUAGAAUGAACCGGCGAGUUACGAUCCCGUGCGAGGUUAAGCUGAAGAGGCG
RNAcentral lists this ribosomal RNA (669 nucleotides) under Bacillus cereus. Its description in RNAcentral is "bacterial LSU rRNA". It matches the Rfam family "Bacterial large subunit ribosomal RNA", at positions 1 to 662 of the family's 2925-position model. The record is from RNAcentral. Lineage: Bacteria; Bacillati; Bacillota; Bacilli; Caryophanales; Bacillaceae.